Molecule: ribosomal RNA, 496 nt
Filed under: uncultured bacterium
Lineage: Bacteria
Description: partial 16S ribosomal RNA
Rfam family: Bacterial small subunit ribosomal RNA
Source: RNAcentral
GACGGACGCUGGCGGCGUGCCUAAUACAUGCAAGUAGAACGCUGAAGAGAGGAGCUUGCUCUUCUUGGAUGAGUUGCGAACGGGUGAGUAACGCGUAGGUAACCUGCCUUGUAGCGGGGGAUAACUAUUGGAAACGAUAGCUAAUACCGCAUAACAAUGGAUGACACAUGUCAUUUAUUUGAAAGGGGCAAUUGCUCCACUACAAGAUGGACCUGCGUUGUAUUAGCUAGUAGGUGAGGUAACGGCUCACCUAGGCGACGAUACAUAGCCGACCUGAGAGGGUGAUCGGCCACACUGGGACUGAGACACGGCCCAGACUCCUACGGGAGGCAGCAGUAGGGAAUCUUCGGCAAUGGGGGCAACCCUGACCGAGCAACGCCGCGUGAGUGAAGAAGGUUUUCGGAUCGUAAAGCUCUGUUGUAAGUCAAGAACGAGUGUGAGAGUGGAAAGUUCACACUGUGACGGUAGCUUACCAGAAAGGGACGGCUAACUACGU